Molecule: ribosomal RNA, 446 nt
Filed under: uncultured bacterium
Lineage: Bacteria
Description: partial 16S ribosomal RNA
Rfam family: Bacterial small subunit ribosomal RNA
Source: RNAcentral
CCUACGGGGGGCAGCAGUCGAGAAUCAUUCACAAUGGGGGAAACCCUGAUGGGGCGACGCCGCGUGGGGGAAUGAAGGUCUUCGGAUUGUAAACCCCUGUCAUGUGGGAGCAAAUUAAAAAGAUAGUACCACAAGAGGAAGAGACGGCUAACGCUGUGCCAGCAGCCGCGGUAAUACAGAGGUCACAAGCGUUGUUCGGAAUCACGGGGAGUAAAGCGUGCGUAGGCUGUUUCGUAAGUCGUGUGUGAAAGGCCCGGGCUCAACCCGCGGACGGCACAUGAUACUGCGAGACUAGAGUACUGGAGUGGGAACCGGAAUUCUCGGUGUAGCAGUGAAAUGCGUAGAUAUCGAGAGGAACACUCGUGGCGAAGGCGGGUUCCUGGACAUUAACUGACGCUGAGGCACGACUGCCAGGGGAGCGAAAGGGAUUAGAUACCCUUGUAGUC